GAUGAACGCUGGCGGCGUGCCUAAUACAUGCAAGUCGAGCGAACAGACGAGGAGCUUGCUCCUCUGACGUUAGCGGCGGACGGGUGAGUAACACGUGGAUAACCUACCUAUAAGACUGGGAUAACUUCGGGAAACCGGAGCUAAUACCGGAUAAUAUAUUGAACCGCAUGGUUCAAUAGUGAAAGACGGUUUUGCUGUCACUUAUAGAUGGAUCCGCGCCGCAUUAGCUAGUUGGUAAGGUAACGGCUUACCAAGGCGACGAUGCGUAGCCGACCUGAGAGGGUGAUCGGCCACACUGGAACUGAGACACGGUCCAGACUCCUACGGGAGGCAGCAGUGGGGAAUCUUCGGCAAUGGGCGAAAGCCUGACGCAGCCACACCGCGUGAGUGAAGAAGGUCUUCGGAUCGUAAAGCUCUGUUGUUGGGAAAGAACAACUGUGUAAGAAACCAUCGCCGUCUUGACGGUACCUAAUCAAAAAGCACCGGCUAACUACGUG
RNAcentral lists this ribosomal RNA (497 nucleotides) under uncultured bacterium. RNAcentral's name for it is "partial 16S ribosomal RNA". It matches the Rfam family "Bacterial small subunit ribosomal RNA", at positions 28 to 507 of the family's 1533-position model. The record is from RNAcentral.